This 508-nucleotide ribosomal RNA is filed under the name uncultured bacterium. Its description in RNAcentral is "partial 16S ribosomal RNA". It matches the Rfam family "Bacterial small subunit ribosomal RNA", at positions 29 to 523 of the family's 1533-position model. The record is from RNAcentral.
AUUGAACGCUGGCGGCAGGCCUAACACAUGCAAGUCGAGCGGCAGCGGGAAAGUAGCUUGCUACUUUUGCCGGCGAGCGGCGGACGGGUGAGUAAUGCCUGGGGAUCUGCCCAGUCGAGGGGGAUAACUACUGGAAACGGUAGCUAAUACCGCAUACGCCCUACGGGGGAAAGCAGGGGACCUUCGGGCCUUGCGCGAUUGGAUGAACCCAGGUGGGAUUAGCUAGUUGGUGAGGUAAUGGCUCACCAAGGCGACGAUCCCUAGCUGGUCUGAGAGGAUGAUCAGCCACACUGGAACUGAGACACGGUCCAGACUCCUACGGGAGGCAGCAGUGGGGAAUAUUGCACAAUGGGGGAAACCCUGAUGCAGCCAUGCCGCGUGUGUGAAGAAGGCCUUCGGGUUGUAAAGCACUUUCAGCGAGGAGGAAAGGUUGGUAGCUAAUAACUGCCAGCUGUGACGUUACUCGCAGAAGAAGCACCGGCUAACUCCGUGCCAGCAGCCGCGGUAA